Molecule: ribosomal RNA, 429 nt
Filed under: Chloroflexota bacterium
Lineage: Bacteria; Bacillati; Chloroflexota
Also listed under: 1 other name
Description: Chloroflexi bacterium partial 16S ribosomal RNA
Rfam family: Bacterial small subunit ribosomal RNA
Source: RNAcentral
UAGGGAAUCUUCGGCAAUGGGCGAAAGUCUGACCGAGCAACGCCGCGUGAGUGAAGAAGGUUUUCGGAUCGUAAAACUCUGUUGUUAGAGAAGAACAAGGACGUUAGUAACUGAACGUCCCCUGACGGUAUCUAACCAGAAAGCCACGGCUAACUACGUGCCAGCAGCCGCGGUAAUACGUAGGUGGCAAGCGUUGUCCGGAUUUAUUGGGCGUAAAGCGAGCGCAGGCGGUUUCUUAAGUCUGAUGUGAAAGCCCCCGGCUCAACCGGGGAGGGUCAUUGGAAACUGGGAGACUUGAGUGCAGAAGAGGAGAGUGGAAUUCCAUGUGUAGCGGUGAAAUGCGUAGAUAUAUGGAGGAACACCAGUGGCGAAGGCGGCUCUCUGGUCUGUAACUGACGCUGAGGCUCGAAAGCGUGGGGAGCAAACAGG